AUGGAGAAGGAGGAGGCAGCGGCGGCGAGACCCGCUCGCAACGAACAGGAAUCCCAUGGAACCGCGUGGAAGCGGGCGCGGAGUGGCGACUGCGACGUGAACUCCGGCGAUCUCAUCAGCCACCUUGCUGACGCCCUCCUCGGAACCAUCAUCUCCCUCCUCCCAACCAAAGAUGGCGGUCGCACGCAGAUCCUCUCCCGCCGAUGGCGCCACCUGUGGCGCUCCGCGCCUCUCAGCCUCGAGGUCCUCGCCUUCCUCCCUGUCCCGGUCUUCGAUCGCUACGCCGUCCCCACCACCGCUGUCUCCAAGAUAAUAUCCCAACACCCUGGCCCCGCCCGCCGAUUCUCCUUCCUCUUCCUCGGGGCCGGCGAUCUCUACGCGGAGGUGGAGAGCUGGUUCGACUCCCCGGCCCUCGCCAACCUCCAGGAGCUCGAUAUCGGCUAUGAGUACCUCUUGGCAUCCAAGGGCAAAUAUCAGUUGCCGCAAUCCACGUUCCGCUCGGCAUCCACCCUCCUCGUUGCCAAGAUCAGGAACUGCGGUUUCUCUGACACAGUCCCACUGUCCUUCAAUUUCCCUCUCCUCAAGGAGCUCUCGUUGCAUUAUGUUUCCUUCUCCGGGGACGCGUUCCAGAGCUUGCUCUCGGGCUGCCAUGCCUUGGAAAGCUUAUACAUGCUCCAAGUUCAUGCUACAGCUGGUUGCCUCCGUGUUUGCUCGCCAACUCUUAGAAGCAUUGGCUUUCGUGAUAACUCUGGUGAAAAAACAGAAUUGGUCCUCGAGGAUGCUCCUCGCCUUGAAAGGUUAUUAUUGCCGUAUUGUCACCGGAAUGAUUGCGUUACUAUCCGGGUUAUUAGGGCACCUAAGCUGAAGAUAUUGGGGCCUUUCUCAGCAGACUCGUGCAAAUUCCGGAUCUUUCAGGGAAUGAGCCCCGUCAGCUCGGCAAACUCGAUACACACCGUGAAGGUUUUGGCCCUCACGUGUUCUUCUCUUCAAUUGGAUGCAGUUCUUGGCGUCCUCAGGUGGUUCCCAUGUUUGGAAAAGCUCUACGUCAGUUUUCACGAAUACUAUCAGACACAUAAGAAAUUUGAGCCUCAGGGUGACCCACUAUAUCCAAUUGAAUGCCUUCAGACCCAUCUAAAGAAAGUGAUGUUGACGUUAUACAUGAGCUAUGAGAAACAGGUUCACUUGGCCAGAUUCUUUGUUCUGAAUGCAAAAGUGCUAAAGAAAAUUGAGUUUCUUGUAUGGAACGACUACAGUGAUGAAUUGGUGGCUCACCAGCACAGCCUGCUCCAAGUCGAAAACAGAGCUUCUCGAGAUGCUCAAUUUGAAUUCAGGAAUUCUCUGUUUUUUAUUGACAAACAUGUAGAGGACCAUAUCCAUGAUUUGUCAGUGGCUGACCCCUUCAGACAGCCAUAG
RNAcentral lists this ribosomal RNA (1413 nucleotides) under Triticum aestivum (bread wheat). RNAcentral describes it as "partial small subunit ribosomal RNA". The record is from RNAcentral. Lineage: Eukaryota; Viridiplantae; Streptophyta; Magnoliopsida; Poales; Poaceae.